AUACGGGGGGAGCAAACGUUGUUCGGAUUCAUUGGGCGUAAAGAGCUCGUAGGCGGCUCCGUAAGUCAGAGGUGAAAGACCACGGCUCAACCGUGGAACCGCCUUUGAAACUACGGAGCUUGAGGCCGGGAGAGGAUAGUGGAAUUCCUGGAGUAGCGGUGAAAUGCGUAGAUAUCAGGAGGAACACCAGUGGCGAAGGCGACUAUCUGGACCGGUUCUGACGCUGAGGAGCGAAAGCUAGGGGAGCAAACAGGAUUAGAAACCCCGGUAGUCC
Molecule: ribosomal RNA, 274 nt
Filed under: uncultured bacterium
Lineage: Bacteria
Description: partial 16S ribosomal RNA
Rfam family: Bacterial small subunit ribosomal RNA
Source: RNAcentral